RNAcentral lists this ribosomal RNA (482 nucleotides) under uncultured bacterium. RNAcentral's name for it is "bacterial SSU rRNA". It matches the Rfam family "Bacterial small subunit ribosomal RNA", at positions 30 to 506 of the family's 1533-position model. The record is from RNAcentral.
UUGAACGCUGGCGGAAUGCUUUACACAUGCAAGUCGAACGGCAGCACGGGGGCAACCCUGGUGGCGAGUGGCGAACGGGUGAGUAAUACAUCGGAACGUACCUUAUAGUGGGGGAUAACACAUCGAAAGAUGUGCUAAUACCGCAUACGACCUGAGGGAGAAAGCGGGGGAUCGCAAGACCUCGCGCUACGAGAGCGGCCGAUGUCCGAUUAGCUAGUUGGUAGGGUAAAGGCCUACCAAGGCGACGAUCGGUAGCUGGUCUGAGAGGACGACCAGCCACACUGGAACUGAGACACGGUCCAGACUCCUACGGGAGGCAGCAGUGGGGAAUUUUGGACAAUGGGGGAAACCCUGAUCCAGCCAUUCCGCGUGAGUGAAGAAGGCCUUCGGGUUGUAAAGCUCUUUCGGCAGGAACGAAACGGUCUUGGAUAAUACCUGAGGCUAAUGACGGUACCUGAAGAAGAAGCACCGGCUAACUACGU